Molecule: unclassified non-coding RNA, 3138 nt
Filed under: Mizuhopecten yessoensis (Yesso scallop)
Lineage: Eukaryota; Metazoa; Mollusca; Bivalvia; Pectinida; Pectinidae
Description: v-set and immunoglobulin domain-containing protein 10-like, transcript variant X1
Source: RNAcentral
CUACCUGUCAGAUAUAUAACGUCAUAGGUAAGGGUAUUUGGAAAUACUUGAUGACCUGCGUGACAUAAGUAGUGUCGUCGAAUGUUUGGAACAGUAUUACAGGAAAAACAGACGUUUUUUGUUGUUUUAUUUAAGAUCUACACAGAAAAAUGAAGAGGAUCAACGUUGCUAGUUUGAUCCUAUUUAUCUUGGUAUUGUUUCUAAGUUCAGUGACAGAAGCUGUCCGAAUACGUACCCGUUACUACACAACAUACUACUACCGUUACUAUUACUAUGGAUAUACCACAAGUACCGUUUCCGCCGGAGUGAUAGCAGGCAUUGUGAUUGGUUGCUUGGUGGGCGUUGCCGUAUUGGUGGGCGCCAUAAUUCUUUGCUGUGUUUGUUGCUGUGGUCGAGGAAGGGGCAGGCCACAAGGGGGACAGGUCAUACAAACGCAGAGCGGCACCACAGUAUCCACCGUCGCUAGUAACGUGGCCUACUAUCCAACUGCACCAGGAAGUGUGUUACAUCCGCCACCGGUCAAUCAUGAGUACUCUGCCCCUCCACCCUCUUAUAAUCAGGUGACUUCUGAUCAUGAGGGCAGCGUGAACUUGGGGUUCGAGGACAACAAACAAACAGUGUACCACCCGCCAAGUUAGAUAGAAUAUGCUGACAUAUACUAGUAUAGUGUAUGGUAGAUGGUACACAUGUACACAAAUUAAUGAAAUUGAUAAACUGGGUGAUAGGAGCCUUAUUUUGUGUAAAUUCGAGAAAUCGACAACGGAAAGAGAACAUCUGGAAAUAUGUAUUAGCAAAAUACGUAGUCAUAAUCGCUGCUGAGCCAGAUAUUAACUUAAAAAAAAAAAAAAAAAAAUAUAUAUAUAUAUAUAUAUAUCAACUUUAUUUUUUCUAUUUUUUACUAUUGGCUUUAAUAUGAUAAUUAAAAAUGAGUAUGUCUAUUGGAGAAUGCUUCCAAUAUCUCUGUACAUGACCGACAACUUGAAUGUUUGGGUGUUUACAUGUUGUAACAUGUGUAUAUAAUCUGAUUUGAAUAUAUAUUACUUUAGUCCAUUACAUAAAACAUGAUAUUAUUCGAUUUACCUUUACGAAUCAUUGCUCAGUUUUUUGGUUUUAUUAAUCCUGGUAGUCUCAAGAACAAAAACUUAUUUUCUAAUUGGUGAUAAACCAAUACCUUCUUUGCUUUAAACAUUCAGUUCAAAACGUGUCUAUUUAUAGCUUUCAAAUGGAAUAAAAAGGAAUGAUAGUUUUUUCCUGAGCAUAGUAAAAAAUCGUUUUUGAAUUUGCAAAUUUAAAAUAUUGCAUGCCAAAAAGAUCGAUUUUUGUUUACCAAUAUAUUGGUUGAACAAUUCGUAUGCAAAUUUCAAAUUGUGACGUACAACCAACGACCCACGCUAUACCGGGCCUUUGUUUUUGUUUUUAUGAUUAGCACAUGAAGGAUGUUUCAUGUAUGGCUAGUGUGAAUAAUUACUGGUAUGUAUGCAAUAUAUUGUUGAUAAGUAAACAGUCGUGAUUUCUUUAAAAAAAACCGGACCAAUCGUUGUGCUGUAUUGGAACGAACUACUACCAGUUUAACAAAAAUGAACCAGUUUUUGCAGAGAGGUUCCAGUUUAAUUUGUACUUUCCAAUGAUCUUUUCUUUGCCCAUUUUUAAGCGCCAAAUGACAGAAACUUGUAUUUUUAUUAUCUGGUUGGUUCAUCCACAAACACGUCCGCUACCAACCCAUAUAUUGAAUUCCAAUAAUAUUUACCUCUUCACUUAUCUUGCAUAUAUGAUAGAGAUGUAUAUAUGUCACAAUCGAAAGCUACUUAUGUAUCUAUAAUUGUUGUAUGCCAAUAGCAGAGAGGAUUUAGAUAGGCCUGCCUGCGAUGUCUUCCUUGUUUGCAGGUAACCUAUGUGUUGGGACAUAGAAAGCAAGCCUAGAUGAGACCUUGAUUUUGAUAUAUUUAAUAUAUUAUGUUCAUAUCUUUUAAUCUCAUUCUUAAUUGUCAAACUUAUGAUUGCACAUGUAAAUUUCCAAUUUAUAAUAGUUGGGGAUAAUUUAGAAUUUAUUUCAUUUUUGAAUCUGAAUACUGACUAUUCGCAUGUUAUUCAGAACUUACCAAUUAAAUUGUGUGCUUACUUUAAAUAAUGGUUUUGGUUAUAUCAACUAUAUGCGUGUAUAAUAGUGCAGAUAUUUCUUGCCUGACUGUUAGACACUUGGUGUGUACUGUAUAUGAACUGUAAGCGCGUUAGAGUUAGUUCAUUCAAUAUACAGGGUCCUACGUACAUUUGUAUAUAGAUGUCUCAUUAUUGCAUGUCACAACAAAUGACUAAAUAAUGAUGAAUUAUUUUUACGAACAGAAAGUUUACAAGUUUUAUUGAUUUGGAGCAUUCUUUUAAUAAGACGUUUUUGUUUUGGAAUUUGAUAUUAUAACAUAUAAAACGUCAAUUUAAGUUGAUUAUGUUUUAAAGUGAUAUAAUUUUAGGCAUCUUCCAAGAUUUACAUUCUCGAAAAAAACACAUAUUUUCCCUGCACCGCUGGAGUAUGUCAUGAUAAAAUCGAAUUCCCUGUACGUGCCACCUUGCAGUAAACCAAUAUAAUCCUUUGAUAUACAUCGCGCGGCAGCAAAACGGUAAAAUUGACCAAAUGGCUCCAAUUGCAGGAUUAAGCAAUCUAAGCCAACCUCCAACUCUUGGUUGAAAAACAUUGGGAGCGAUUUCCCAGAAGGAGACAGAAAGGCCAAUAGUGGUUUUUUUUGUUUUGUAUUUUAAUUUAUUUGAAUAAAAGCUUACCUCAUGCCUUCAAUUUUAUCAUGACAUAUUCCAUGGGUGGAGACAAUAUAUGUGCAUCAAGAGAGGAAAGCUUAUACAUGUAUAUCGAUAAUGAAAUAAGACAAUAUUGUCCUCUUCACAAGAGUCUUAUCAUAUCUGAAACAAGUUGGAGGUCUGAAAACUCCAAGGAAUCAGUGAAAACUCCGGGCAUGUGUAAGUGCAGUGUAUUCUCAAGUGUCAUACAAACAAAGUCAUAGAUCAAAACUCACUUACUACUGUUUUUUGUAUUAAAUUGUUUUGUAAAAACGAGAAAGAGAAGACCCUCGGUCAUAAUAAAAAAGAAAGUCAUUAAGUGACAGAAUAGUGGAAUAAAAUGAAUAUUUUGUA